RNAcentral lists this ribosomal RNA (766 nucleotides) under Chryseobacterium sp. RNAcentral's name for it is "bacterial SSU rRNA". It matches the Rfam family "Bacterial small subunit ribosomal RNA", at positions 54 to 820 of the family's 1533-position model. Lineage: Bacteria; Pseudomonadati; Bacteroidota; Flavobacteriia; Flavobacteriales; Weeksellaceae. The record is from RNAcentral.
CAUGCAAGCCGAGCGGUAGAGAUCUUUCGGGAUCUUGAGAGCGGAGUACGGGUGCGGAACACGUGUGCAACCUGCCUUUAUCUGGGGGAUAGCCUUUCACAAGGAAGAUUAAUACCCCAUAAUAUACUGAAUGGCAUCAUUCGGUAUUGAAAACUCCGGUGGAUAGAGAUGGGCACGCGCAAGAUUAGAUAGUUGGUGAGGUAACGGCUCACCAAGUCUACGAUCUUUAGGGGGCCUGAGAGGGUGAUCCCCCACACUGGUACUGAGACACGGACCAGACUCCUACGGGAGGCAGCAGUGAGGAAUAUUGAACAAGGGGUGAGAGCCUGAUCCUGACGUCCCCCGUGAAGGACGACGGCCCUAUGGGUUGUAAACUUCUUUUGUAUAGGGAUAAACCUACCCUCGUGAGGGUAGCUGAAGGUACUAUACGAAUAAGCACCGGCUAACUCCGUGCCACUCCGUGCGGUAAUACGGAGGGUGCAAGCGUUAUCCGGAUUUAUUGGGUUUAAAGGGUCCGUAAGCGGAUCUGUAAGUCACUGGUGAAAUCUCACAGCAGAACUGUGAAACUGCCAUUGAUACUGCAGGUCUUGAGUGUUGUUGAAGUAGCUGGAAUAAGUAGUGUAGCGGUGAAAUGCAUAGAUAUUACUUAGAACACCAAUUGCGAAGGCAGGUUACUAAGCAACAACUGACGCUGAUGGACGAAAGCGUGGGGAGCGAACAGGAUUAGAUACCCUGGUAGUCCACGCCGUAAACGAUGCCUAACUCG